RNAcentral lists this ribosomal RNA (468 nucleotides) under uncultured bacterium. RNAcentral describes it as "partial 16S ribosomal RNA". It matches the Rfam family "Bacterial small subunit ribosomal RNA", at positions 28 to 507 of the family's 1533-position model. The record is from RNAcentral.
GACGAACGCUGGCGGCGUGCUUAACACAUGCAAGUCGAACGGAAAGGCCCUGCUUUUGUGGGGUGCUCGAGUGGCGAACGGGUGAGUAACACGUGAGUAACCUGCCCUUGACUUUGGGAUAACUUCAGGAAACUGGGGCUAAUACCGGAUAGGAGCUCCUGCUGCAUGGUGGGGGUUGGAAAGUUUCGGCGGUUGGGGAUGGACUCGCGGCUUAUCAGCUUGUUGGUGGGGUAUUGGCUUACCAAGGCUUUGACGGGUAGCCGGCCUGAGAGGGUGACCGGCCACAUUGGGACUGAGAUACGGCCCAGACUACUACGGGAGGCAGCAGUGGGGAAUAUUGCACAAUGGGCGGAAGCCUGAUGCAGCAACGCCGCGUGCGGGAUGACGGCCUUCGGGUUGUAAACCGCUUUCGCCUGUGACGAAGCGUGAGUGACGGUAAUGGGUAAAGAAGCACCGGCUAACUACGUG